This 73-nucleotide transfer RNA is filed under the name Haemonchus contortus (barber pole worm). Its description in RNAcentral is "tRNA, Pseudo". The record is from RNAcentral. Lineage: Eukaryota; Metazoa; Nematoda; Chromadorea; Rhabditida; Trichostrongylidae.
UCUCUGGUGGUCCAGUGGCUAAGACUCCACACUCCCAAUGCAGGGGGCCCAGGUUCAAUCCCGGGUCAAGGAA